CGUGCAUGCAAACACAGGAGUGUGCACACAAACACACACGUGCGUGCAUGCAAACACAGGAGUGUGCACACAAACACACACGUGCGUGCAUGCAAACACAGGAGUGUGCACACAAACACACACGUGCGUGCAUGCAAACACAGGAGUGUGCACACAAACACACACGUGCGUGCAAACACAGGAGUGUGCACACAAACACACACGUGCGUGCAUGCAAACACAGGAGAGUGUGCACACAAACACACACGUGCGUGCAUGCAAACACAGGAGUGUGCACACAAACACACAGUGCAUGCAUGCAAACACAUAUGCGUGCACACAAACACACACGUGCGUGCAUGCAAACACAGGAGUGUGCACACAAACACACACGUGCGUGCAUGCAAACACAGGAGUGUGCACACACAAACACACACGUGCGUGCAUGCAAACACAGGAGUGUGCACACACAAACACACACGUGCGUGCAUGCAAACACAGGAGUGUGCACACAAACACACACGUGCGUGCAUGCAAACACAGGAGAGUGUGCACACAAACACACCGUGCGUGCAUGCAACACAAAACACACACAUGCACACACACACACACAUAUGCACACACCGCUUGGUUACAGAAAACCUAUUUUCAGAGACCAGAAGACCCCAAGUGUCACCUGCCACGUGCAGAAACACUCAGUGGGGAUUUCACACCAUGGUUGACCCCACAAAUUCUUCCCAGGGGCAG
RNAcentral lists this long non-coding RNA (726 nucleotides) under Equus asinus (donkey). Its description in RNAcentral is "lncRNA (ENSEASG00005035637.1)". The record is from RNAcentral. Lineage: Eukaryota; Metazoa; Chordata; Mammalia; Perissodactyla; Equidae.